RNAcentral lists this long non-coding RNA (454 nucleotides) under Canis lupus familiaris (dog). RNAcentral describes it as "lncRNA (ENSCAFG00040022259.1)". The record is from RNAcentral. Lineage: Eukaryota; Metazoa; Chordata; Mammalia; Carnivora; Canidae.
UCGGAGACGUGCCCUCUGGGGCCCCUCCGCGGAAGAGUGCUAUUGGAGGGACGGCACUGGCAGGUGGAGGCUGGGGAAUCAUCUGGAGUGGAAUUUCUGCCAAUGUCCAGAAUUUGAAGUUGCUGCUACUUGUGAGUUUUGUCUCUGGAGACUCUCAUGUAUCAAGAGGGGAGAGAACAGAUGCCUUGAAAUUUUGUGACCCAUGUGAACAGACCCCUUUAAAGCUCACUUUGCAUUUAUUGGGAGUCAUUAAAGAGUGUAGACUCACAGUACUGUCCAAUGGAAAUAUACUGUGAGCCACACACACAAUUUUAAAUUUUCUAGUAGUUACACUGCAAAGAAAUAGUAAAGGGGCAGGUGAAAUUGAUUUUAAUGAUAGAUUUUAUGAAUCACAAUAUAUCUGGAAUAUUAGCCAUCAAUAUGUAAAUAAUAUAAAGUUACAAAGGAGAUAUUU